CCUACGGGAGGCAGCAGUGGGGAAUAUUGGGCAAUGGGCGCAAGCCUGACCCAGCAACGCUGCGUGAAGGAAGAAGGCUUUCGGGUUGUAAACUUCUUUUCGCAGGGACGAAGCAAGUGACGGUACCUGAGGAAUAAGCCACGGCUAACUACGUGCCAGCAGCCGCGGAAAUACGUAGGUGGCAAGCGUGAUACGGAUUGACUGGGAGUAAAGGGCGUGUAGGCGGGACGUCAAGUCAGAUGUGAAAACCACGGGCUCAACCUGUGGCCUGCAUUUGAAACUGGAGUGCUUGAGUACUGGAGAGGCAGACGGAAUUCCUAGUGUAGCGGUGAAAUGCGUAGAUAUUAGGAGGAACACCAGUGGCGAAGGCGGUCUGCUGGACAGCAACUGACGCUGAGGCGCGAAAGCGUGGGGAGCAAACAGGAUUAGAUACCCCUGUAGUC
Molecule: ribosomal RNA, 443 nt
Filed under: uncultured bacterium
Lineage: Bacteria
Description: partial 16S ribosomal RNA
Rfam family: Bacterial small subunit ribosomal RNA
Source: RNAcentral